RNAcentral lists this ribosomal RNA (466 nucleotides) under Penaeus longistylus. RNAcentral describes it as "partial 16S ribosomal RNA". It matches the Rfam family "Bacterial large subunit ribosomal RNA", at positions 1857 to 2570 of the family's 2925-position model. Lineage: Eukaryota; Metazoa; Arthropoda; Malacostraca; Decapoda; Penaeidae. The record is from RNAcentral.
GGCUGCCCACUGAUUUGUUUUAAAGGGCCGCGGUAUAUUGACCGUGCGAAGGUAGCAUAAUCAUUAGUCUUUUAAUUGAAGGCUUGUAUGAAUGGUUGGACAAAAAGUAAGCUGUCUCGAUUAUAAUAAUUGAANUUAACUUUUGAGUGAAAAGGCUUAAAUGGUUCAGGGGGACGAUAAGACCCUAUAAAGCUUGACAAUAACUUCGUUAAAUUAUAAAUUGUUAGUAUAACUUGAUUUUAACUGGGGUUUGUUUCGUUGGGGCGACGAGAAUAUAAUAAAAUAACUGUUCUUUUAAAUAUAAUUACAAAAAUGCUUGGUGGAUAAUUGAUCCUUUAAUAAAGAUUAAAAGAUUAAGUUACUUUAGGGAUAACAGCGUAAUCUUCUUUGAGAGUCCAUAUCGACAAGAAGGUUUGCGACCUCGAUGUUGAAUUAAGGUAUCCUUAUAAUGCAGCAGUUAUAAAGG